UAUGACCCAUACUGAGGAAAGGAAUCAGCAGGUAGUAAAAUUUGAGUUUGAUUCGUAAUGUUAGAAGUUAUUUCAUCCUUUACCUGUGAUUCUGUAUUAUCAACUCUUUGAUCAGCGAGUACAUCUUUGGGUAACCCAUCCGGGUAUUUCAACAAAACUUGCUCAUUUCUUUCCCAAUUUUCUGGAAAUAACUCCAAAGUCUGUUGUUCUGUUAACAUUUUAUUGAUAAGAACCGAGUUUAUAAACAGAAUUCUACAAAGUUGCCCUUUGUCAAUUCCUUUGUAGUGGGACUAAAUCUGUAAGUCAAGUGUAUGUACGGUUUAAUGCUUCCAGAAAGCAAAGUCUAUAAUUGCAUUCUAAUGAACUUUCAAAGGAUUAUGCUGACACAUAUCAUUUCUGAUAAUUACUAAAUUAUACAGACAUUGUCUUUAAGGGCUAGACUAUGACUGACAAAAGAAUUUUUGAUCUUGGAAUUGAGGACAAACUACGGAUAUCAAUUUUGAUUAACAAUUCUAUUUUUUUAGGUCCCUUGAGCUAAACAUAGUUUAUUAUUAAGGUGCGCGCUUUUCCCGUUUUCUCGUACACUGCCAAGAAUCCACAGAUCAUGAGGGUGAGUAAUCAUGAAAUCCGGACUCCAAAAGUAGGCGGCUGAAAAUAAAAUACUGGCAGAAUCAUUUGCAAAUAAAAAGAUAGAAUAAAUAAGGAGAAAUACUUAGUGAAAUUCCAAAAUUAUUUGUUUUUUUUUACAUCGUACCAAAACAUCAAAAAUUAAGGAGAGAAAAAAAUAGAAAACGUG
Molecule: non-coding RNA, 796 nt
Organism: Schizosaccharomyces pombe (fission yeast)
Lineage: Eukaryota; Fungi; Ascomycota; Schizosaccharomycetes; Schizosaccharomycetales; Schizosaccharomycetaceae
Source: the annotation of a GenBank genome assembly